This is a long non-coding RNA of Oryzias melastigma (Indian medaka), 2150 nucleotides long. RefSeq lists it as uncharacterized. The transcript is spliced from 3 exons. The record is from RefSeq and is a predicted model, not a curated record. Lineage: Eukaryota; Metazoa; Chordata; Actinopteri; Beloniformes; Adrianichthyidae.
UAUGUGAACAUGGGGCAAUUAUGCUAAUAUUUCCACAUGGAUAUAUGCAAGUGAAAAAAAAAGUUCACAACCCCGAGACAGAAAGGCCAGGAAGAAAUGCAGCUCCACGUUGAAACUUUGACUAUUAGGAAAUCAAAUUGGUCAAGUCCUCUGAGUUAGGUCUUUGAAGGAGUAAUUUGGCUAGUUACUGACUAUUUUAUGUUAAUUGCCAUGAAGAAUGUAGGCUAGAUAUCACAAAAACAUCGACACAUUCCAAAAUACUUAACACUAUGUGGUUCAUUAUGAGACUUUGGCCAUCUUUUAUGGCAUUUUGGCCACAAUGUGCUUCACUUUAAAACUAACUAAUAAAGCAUAGUCCAGCAUUUAGACUUGGCAUAACAAAAGAGGCAAACACGAUUAGAAACCAUCAAAUCCAUCUCCAAAUGAGCAGAACUAUUACCUUGUUGAGAGAUUGGUAAAACAAAAAAAAUGCAUUUUCCUAAUUUGUGGUUUAGCUGAAGUGUUUAUUGCAUGGGUGGCCACUUUAAUCACAAUCUCUGCCACGUAUAGUCAGAAACAAAACAAACAUUCAAGCCAAAAUCCACCAGGCCACAAGAGCAAAACUUCAUCAUGUCAAAAACUACUCGUUUCCAUGGUAACUGCCCAUGAUUCGUCAAUGUAGUGGGCAUAGUGAUCGAAAGUGGCUUUUUCAUUAUGAAGCAUUUAAAGAUUCAGUUCAAGCUGUGGGUCCCACCUCACAGUCGCUGUGAUGUCACCAGACCGUCCAAACACAUUUGAAGAGAAAAGGAAGGCAAAGAACUGGGGAGAGAAGACCUGCCAACCCUUUAGACCUCCAAGGAAGAAUACCAAUAAGGAUUUGUCCUGCACCGCACUUUCCCAAAGUCCCUGACACAUGAGGCUACAAUGUGCCCCAGGGCGCCACGACAUCCUGCUGCUGAAGGGAAAAGGGGCCCCCAGGACCAGGACUCCUCAGCACUAAACUAUAAGCAUUUUUGCAAUUGACUGCCCUCAAAUUAUAAUCACAAGUUAGGUUUAACAUCUCUCCAUGCUUCAAGUUAGGCAAUACAAUAUUCCAAAAUGAUCAGCCUCCAAAUGGUUUUCAUAAAAGAAGUCUCUAAAAGUGUGCAGGACUCAGAGUUGAAGCAAGCUGCAGCCAUUUGUUUCCAUUUUUUCCAGACACAUUUACCAAACUAAAAGCUCUAGUUGAUGGAGAAAGCAGGGCUAUAUUAUUGAAAAGGCCUGCAUUGGAACAAUGUGUGUUUAUUGUGUUCAUCGGUCUCUCCCUGGCACAGUCUGGAGUUAAAGGGCUGGGCAGUUUAAAUGAGCCGACAGUGCUGCUUACCCUCUCAUUUACCUGUAAGAGAGCUUGUGGUCACGGGAGGAAAAGGCCACGGGGAAGCGGGGAAUAGAGGUGCUGCACUGGCUGUGAUGAUGAUGGAGUGUCUACAAAUAUGACUCCAAAAAGGGUCAUUUUGAUGGGUCGGCAAUAUGUAAAGGCUGGCCCGUCAGUUCCUGACCUUUUGAGAGUGACCGGUGGGGGAAGGGUCUAUCUGUAGGAGAGAACCGACAGAAAGGGAGAAACACAGAGAGGGGCUGUUCAGUGUCACGCCCAUUAUGACCCGCUAAAAACUUGGACCACUCUCUGGCGAAGAGCCAUCCAUCAUCGGGGCCUCUCUAAUCAGCAUGUUUGUCACUGUAACUAAACAGUGGGCUGAGCCACAUUGCCACGCUAUUGGCCCUGACAGGGAGAAAUAAAUCUGCUGCCGGCCAAUGGGCUGCAGGCAGCCGAGCGUGGCAGGAAAGGUGACAGACUCUCGAGGUCUCAACUAGUGAGAGAUUAAGGGGAACUCGCUCAGACUCUGGGGUGGAGGAAACAUUUGAACGAUUUUACUGGUGUACAGCCAGCCGCUGAAGCUGGCGCUCCUGCAACGUGCGUGCUGAAAGUGAAAACGUCUUUGUCUCCCCUCUGGCAAGACAGGUCCAUUUGUUCAGUUAAGGGAAACUCUGCUAGUCUUUGUAAAAGUUAACUGAUAGGUGUUGUGUGUGUUUGUGAGAAUCUUUUCUGUGGUGGUCACAUUGAAUAAAUCCUGGUGUAUUUUUUGGAGAAAAAGCUUAAAACAAAAAUUAAAGUCUAGAAUAUCACACAGUGA